RNAcentral lists this unclassified non-coding RNA (381 nucleotides) under uncultured Caryophanales bacterium. Its description in RNAcentral is "uncultured Bacillales bacterium contains 16S-23S intergenic spacer region". Lineage: Bacteria; Bacillati; Bacillota; Bacilli; Caryophanales. The record is from RNAcentral.
UCCGGCUUCUCGCCGGCAGUCCUCUUCGAGUGCCCGACAUUACUCGCUGGCAACUAAGAUCAAGGGUUGCGCUCGUUGCGGGACUUAACCCAACAUCUCACGACACGAGCUGACGACAACCAUGCACCACCUGUCACUCUGUCCCCCGAAGGGGAACGUCCUAUCUCUAGGAGUGUCAGAGGAUGUCAAGACCUGGUAAGGUUCUUCGCGUUGCUUCGAAUUAAACCACAUGCUCCACCGCUUGUGCGGGUCCCCGUCAAUUCCUUUGAGUUUUAACCUUGCGGCCGUACUCCCCAGGCGGGAUGCUUAAUGCGUUAACUUCGACGCCGCAGGGGUCAAUACCCGCGACACCAAGUGCCCAUCGUUUACGGCGUGGACUAC